GGGAAUAGCUCAGCUGGUAGAGCGCCACCUUGCCGAGGUGGAGGUCGCGGGUUCGAAUCCCGUUUCCC
This 68-nucleotide transfer RNA is filed under the name marine eukaryotic metagenome. It matches the Rfam family "tRNA". From Rfam's summary of the family: Transfer RNA (tRNA) molecules are approximately 80 nucleotides in length. Their secondary structure includes four short double-helical elements and three loops (D, anti-codon, and T loops). The record is from RNAcentral.